ACCUGGCGGCAUGCCUUACCAUGCAAGUCGAACGGCAGCACGGGGGCAACCCUGGUGGCGAGUGGCGAACGGGUGAGUAACAUAUCGGAACGUGCCCUGGAGUGGGGGAUAACUAGUCGAAAGACUAGCUAAUACCGCAUACGAUCUACGGAUGAAAGUGGGGGAUCGCAAGACCUCAUGCUCGUGGAGCGGCCGAUAUCUGAUUAGCUAGUUGGUGGGGUAAAGGCCUACCAAGGCAUCGAUCAGUAGCUGGUCUGAGAGGACGACCAGCCACACUGGGACUGAGACACGGCCCAGACUCCUACGGGAGGCAGCAGUGGGGAAUUUUGGACAAUGGGCGCAAGCCUGAUCCAGCAAUGCCGCGUGAGUGAAGAAGGCCUUCGGGUUGUAAAGCUCUUUUGUCAGGGAAGAAACGGUUCGGGCCAAUACCCUGGGCUAAUGACGGUACCUGAAGAAUAAGCACCGGCUAACUACGCGCCGGCAGCCGCGGUAAU
Molecule: ribosomal RNA, 494 nt
Filed under: uncultured bacterium
Lineage: Bacteria
Description: bacterial SSU rRNA
Rfam family: Bacterial small subunit ribosomal RNA
Source: RNAcentral